RNAcentral lists this long non-coding RNA (441 nucleotides) under Lathyrus oleraceus (garden pea). RNAcentral's name for it is "Pisum sativum (pea) long non-coding RNA (PSAT_LNC040350)". Lineage: Eukaryota; Viridiplantae; Streptophyta; Magnoliopsida; Fabales; Fabaceae. The record is from RNAcentral.
UUAUAAAAUAAAAUAUUUAUUUCUCUUUAAUAUUUUUAAUUUAACAUUAAAAUUUUAUUCGUACAUAAUUAUUACAUUCCAAUAUUCAACUUAAUUUAAAAUUGGGGUAUUAUAUUAGGUAUCUUCCUUGUGGAAGAUGGUGGAUAAAAACAUCCACACUGCCCACGAAUACAUUCUGGUUUCUCGUUACCACAUAUUCUCCGACAAUCUUGAUCGAUUUUACACGAAAUGUCUCUUUCGGAUGCCAAGCAAAAAUCUACAUUUUCAACCAAAAUAUGUGUGUAAGAUUAGUGUUGAAUGAAAAGAAUGAAAGAUUUAAAGCAUAAAUUAAUAUAUAAAAGUUAAACACUACAACAUGAGAAUAUACAAUUUAAUCAAUUAGCUCAUUUGUUUCAUACCUGUUGUGAAGAUGAAAAAAGCCAAUAAAAAUAACAUUGUAAU